Molecule: ribosomal RNA, 41 nt
Filed under: Meliosma glabrata
Lineage: Eukaryota; Viridiplantae; Streptophyta; Magnoliopsida; Proteales; Sabiaceae
Description: partial 18S ribosomal RNA
Source: RNAcentral
CGUAACAAGGUUUCGUAGGUGAACCUGCGGAAGGAUCAUUG